RNAcentral lists this ribosomal RNA (778 nucleotides) under uncultured bacterium. Its description in RNAcentral is "bacterial SSU rRNA". It matches the Rfam family "Bacterial small subunit ribosomal RNA", at positions 60 to 838 of the family's 1533-position model. The record is from RNAcentral.
AGUCGAACGGAGUUUACAGGCAGAGGUUUUCGGAUGGAAGCUUGUAAACUUAGUGGCGGACGGGUGAGUAACACGUGAGCAACCUGCCUAUCAGAGGGGGAUAACGAUUGGAAACGAUCGCUAAUACCGCAUGACAUAGCGGAACCGCAUGGUUCUGUUAUCAAAGAUUUUAUCGCUGAUAGAUGGGCUCGCGUCCGAUUAGAUAGUUGGUGGGAUAACGGCCUACCAAGUCGACGAUCGGUAGCCGGACUGAGAGGUCGAACGGCCACAUUGGGACUGAGACACGGCCCAGACUCCUACGGGAGGCAGCAGUGGGGGAUAUUGCACAAUGGGGGAAACCCUGAUGCAGCGACGCCGCGUGAGGGAAGACGGUCCUCUGGAUUGUAAACCUCUGUCUUCGGGGACGAAACGAGACGGUACCCGAGGAGGAAGCCACGGCUAACUACGUGCCAGCAGCCGCGGUAAUACGUAGGUGGCAAGCGUUGUCCGGAAUUACUGGGUGUAAAGGGAGCGUAGGCGGGCAGGCAAGUCAGGCGUGAAAUAUAUCGGCUCAACCGGUAACGGCGCUUGAAACUGCAGGUCUUGAGUGAAGUAGAGGUUGGCGGAAUUCCUAGUGUAGCGGUGAAAUGCGUAGAUAUUAGGAGGAACACCAGUGGCGAAGGCGGCCAACUGGGCUUUUACUGACGCUGAGGCUCGAAAGUGUGGGGAGCAAACAGGAUUAGAUACCCUGGUAGUCCACACCGUAAACGAUGAUUACUAGGUGUGGGGGGACUGACCC